CCUACGGGUGGCAGCAGUGGGGAAUAUUGGACAAUGGGGGGAACCCUGAUCCAGCCAUGCCGCGUGUGUGAAGAAGGCCCUCGGGUUGUAAAGCACUUUCAGUGAGGAAGAACGCCUGGUGGUUAAUACCCAUCAGGAAAGACAUCACUCACAGAAGAAGCACCGGCUAACUCCGUGCCAGCAGCCGCGGUAAUUCGGAGGGUGCGAGCGUUAAUCGGAAUUACUGGGCGUAAAGCGCGCGUAGGUGGCUUGAUAAGCCGGUUGUGAAAGCCCCGGGCUCAACCUGGGAACGGCAUCCGGAACUGUCAAGCUAGAGUGCAGGAGAGGAAGGUAGAAUUCCCGGUGUAGCGGUGAAAUGCGUAGAGAUCGGGAGGAAUACCAGUGGCGAAGGCGGCCUUCUGGACUGACACUGACACUGAGGUGCGAAAGCGUGGGUAGCAAACAGGAUUAGAUACCCUUGUAGUC
This 465-nucleotide ribosomal RNA is filed under the name Vreelandella stevensii. RNAcentral describes it as "partial 16S ribosomal RNA". It matches the Rfam family "Bacterial small subunit ribosomal RNA", at positions 338 to 795 of the family's 1533-position model. Lineage: Bacteria; Pseudomonadati; Pseudomonadota; Gammaproteobacteria; Oceanospirillales; Halomonadaceae. The record is from RNAcentral.